AAUAGGUUGGCAGAGUAGUGCAUUUGAUUUAGGUUCAAAUAAUGAAUUAUUCCACUUAUUG
RNAcentral lists this transfer RNA (61 nucleotides) under Hirudinaria manillensis. Its description in RNAcentral is "Poecilobdella manillensis tRNA-Leu". The record is from RNAcentral. Lineage: Eukaryota; Metazoa; Annelida; Clitellata; Hirudinida; Hirudinidae.